CAAGUCGAACGCGAAAGCCUCCUUCGGGGGGCAAGUAGAGUGGCGCACGGGUGAGUAACACGUAGGUAAUCUACCUUUGGAUUGGGAAUAACCACCGGAAACGGUGGCUAAUACCGAAUAAUGCAGCGGCACCUAAUGGUGACAGUUGUUAAAGCGGGGGAUCGCAAGACCUCGCGUCUAAAGAGGAGCCUGCGGCGGAUUAGCUUGUUGGUAAGGUAACGGCUUACCAAGGCGAUGAUCCGUAGCCGGCCUGAGAGGGCGGCCGGCCACACUGACACUGACAUACGGGUCAGACUCCUACGGGAGGCAGCAGUCGGGAAUUUUGGGCAAUGGGCGAAAGCCUGACCCAGCAACGCCGCGUGAAGGAUGAAAUCCCUCGGGAUGUAAACUUCGCAAGAACGGGAAGAAUAAGUAAGAGUUAACAUCUCUUACGAUGACGGUACUGUUUGUAAGCUCCGGCUAACUCCGUGCCAGCAGCCGCGGUAAUACGGGGGGAGCAAGCGUUGUUCGGAUUUACUGGGCGUAAAGGGCGCGUAGGCGGCCACCGCAAGUCGACUGUGAAAUCUCCGGGCUUAACCCGGAAAGGUCAGCCGAUACUGCGGGGCUAGAGUGCAGAAGGGGCAACUGGAAUUCUCGGUGUAGCGGUGAAAUGCGUAGAUAUCGAGAGGAACACCUGCGGCGAAGGCGGGUUGCUGGGCUGACACUGACGCUGAUGCGCGAAAGCUAGGGGAGCGAACGGGAUUAGAUACCCCGGUGGUCCUAGCCUUAAACGAUGAAUGCUUGGUGUCUGGGGUUUUAUAGUCCCCGGGUGCC
This 813-nucleotide ribosomal RNA is filed under the name uncultured bacterium. RNAcentral's name for it is "bacterial SSU rRNA". It matches the Rfam family "Bacterial small subunit ribosomal RNA", at positions 58 to 847 of the family's 1533-position model. The record is from RNAcentral.